This is a long non-coding RNA of Neofelis nebulosa (Clouded leopard), 3006 nucleotides long. RefSeq lists it as uncharacterized. The transcript is spliced from 2 exons. The record is from RefSeq and is a predicted model, not a curated record. NCBI's taxonomy places the organism in Eukaryota, Metazoa, Chordata, Mammalia, Carnivora, Felidae.
GAAGCAUGAUAUUUAGUCUGCAAGCAGAGGAAGCUUUGGGGGAGGGGCGGUGUUAAGUAGAGGAGUGACAUGGUCCUAACGCUUUUCAAAAAGCCUGUGGACUACGGGGUGAAAGCCAAAAAGGGAGAGGCUGGGCCAGUGCCAUGGUCCAGAGAGGGGGCGGGAGAGGCCCAGCGGACAGACUGUCGAUGUGUUCACAAGAGCUGACCUAAAUGAGGGAAACUAAAAAAGAUUUACAUAUAUAUAAAGUAUAUAAAAUUCUCAUGUUUUGAGUCUAGGCACCUGAGCAGAGGGCCAUGCUGUUGCUAAGGAAGGGGAAGAUUCAGGAGGACAGGUUGGGGAAGAAUCAGGUCAGAACCUGGGGAAGUGAUGGGGCUCAGAGAAGCUCAGCCUUUUGCCCCAGGUGUCCCCAGCCUGGUGGGGCACAGCUAGAAUGUGAACUGGGAUCCAGUUGGCUGGAAAGCUCUUCCCCGAGCUACAUGCUGCUGAGCAGCGAUGACCCCAGACUCCAGAGAGCAUUCCUGCCCCCCUCCAGUCCUCACACUGCCCCGCAAGUACUGCCCAGCUGCCUCUGUUUCUUAGCCAGGCCCCAGCGGGUCCUCACCUUGGCGUACUUGUACGUGUUCACGGCGCUCUCCACGCUGAGGGUCUGGGAGCACAGGAUCUCGCAGUGCCUCUGUAGGGCAUCCAGCUGGAACAAACUGGCGGCUGACAGCAGCUGUGGGGGGGCGCGGAGGGAGGCAAAAGGCGGCCUUGGAUGGGGGCAGCCAGGCCUGUGGCCCAGGCAUCAUGGAACAGAAAGCUGCUUUGUGCAGUGGGCCCUGUGUUCUAAUCCUCGGGGCCCUGCCUGCCUCAGCAGGUCAAGUCUGAGGACGGAUUUAUUUCUGUUCUAGAGCACCUCGGUAUUUGCUGGGACACCUUGGAAGGCACAGGAUGGGUGACAGACACUGGUUGGGAUUCCUGACCUCACAGAAGAUCUUCAAUCAUAAGCUGCAUGCUUUGUCUACACCACCUUCUACCCAGGCGCCUGGCCGGCAGGGGCUCUGUUUUCUAAGUGCGAGGAGGUGAGUGGGAGGCCCUGCUGCCUGCCUUUGAUCCUCCUGGGCCCAUUAUCCCUACAGGGGAGCCUUUCCAGCCCCCACCCCCACCCCAGGCAUGGCCCAGGAGGCGGUGGGCACCCAGUUCCCUGUCACAGGAAGAGAAAGGACCAGCAGGGAAUCAGAAGGUCCUCGAAGAGGCCACCUCCCCUCCUUGGCUCUCCAAUGCCAUGUCUCUGAGCGCGGGGUUGAGAGCCAGCAGCCAGGCAUUGGGCACACCGGCUCCCACGCCCUUCCCAGCACCGGGACCUCACCUCCAGGAUGUCGGAGGCCGGGAUGUCCAUGGCUUCUGUUCCUCCGUAGUACAAAUACUGCAUCAUCAUCUGCAGCGGGAAGAGGCCCCGCAUGAACACCAAAUGGCCCCGCGGCACCCACGUCCUCUGGCUUCACCAGAGUGCCGCUCUCCGCCCUGGGCCUGGCUGCGCCCUCUACCCUCUCCAUGUGGAUGCGUGCACAUCCCCACUCACUGAAGCGGAUAUUUUGUGCAGUCUCUACAGGGGCCUACCCUCAGAAGCUGCUUCCAACUUUCCCGGCUGUGCUAGAACUCCAGCGUGGAGGUGAGAGCCAGACCCUGUCUGCCCCCUGGAUUUGUUCCCUUGGACAGCAAGCUCAGAGCUGGGGUCGGGUCUGGUCCAGAGGUCACCUCGUUGCCUGGCCCAGACCUGGGACUUGUGGGAACAGAGGGCCUGGGAUAUCAAAUGAGGUGGCCUAGGACUGGGGAACUACAUUUAAUUUCACUGUGGUCUGUCACAAACUCUGCCAUCACGCUGGAGCCUGGGAGGUUCCCAGUUGGAAAAAGAAAAAUGAUUCUCCCCGGUUGGCUGCAGAAACAGCCCCAGCAAGGAGCUGGCAAGUGUGUAAGUAAACACGGCUCCGGCCGGCACAGUCGGGCUCUGUUAGGAGCCGGCCCCCGGGCUGGAAGAGGCACCAGAGGGUCUAGGAAGCAGCCCAACCCUGGGGGAGAAGAGUGGGGUGAUGGCCAGUCUGUCCAGGCCUGAGGUCAGUCCCCGGAGACUGUCUCUCCCCACAGAGCAGGGGGCGGGGGAGGCUCCCUCGGUCCAGCAGCCCCUGCUGGAGCACAGAUGGAGGUGUCUGUCCCUCCAGGAGGUGUGCACCUCAGGUGCCGUCCCCUGUGCUGGGCACGGAGUGGCUGUUUGGGACGCCGGCAGGACUGCCUUGGAUGAUCCAGCGCUGGGAGUGGAGCAGGUGGCGGGGGCGGGGGGCGGUAGGAUCUCCUAGGCUUGUUUGCUAAGGGGUGGCCUCAGGACAGCCCCUCAGCAAGAAGGGGCCUGGGGGUGUGGGCCGUGAGAUGGGCCGGAAUCCUGCAGCUCUCCUUCCCAGGCCCCGCGGCUCGGGAGCUGGUUCGACAAGGCCCAGCCACCUGUGGCCUGUGGAUCUCUCUGAAGUCCCUUAAAUGGAUAUUAGUCUGUGGAAGCCAGAGCUGAACCACUCCCUGGGAACCUUGCUGUGGGAGGCGGGUGGCCAGCAGGCAGAGAUGGGUUGAUUGUGCGCAGCCUGGCAGCCCGAGGGUCCAGACAGGUUGCUCUGGGAAAGGCCCCAGGCAGCGUCAGCUGCAGAGGGGGUGGCAGGGUCUCCUUCCGUCCUGGACAGGACCCCAGGAACCUGACUCCAGGAGGCUGCAGAUACUGACGGGACAGGACUGGGGUCAGAAGCCAGGUAAGACCAGCAGGGCUGUUCCUCAAAGGCCCGGGUGGGGUCGUCGGCAGUGACCUUGGCAAGAUCUAGGCUGGCCCUAACACUAUAGCCGCUGACCACAUCUAGCUUUUAAGUAUUUGGAAUAAGACUGGUCUGAAUUGAGAUGUCAAAAACACACUGCAUUUCAAAUGCUUAUGUUUUACAUUCUUGGUAUGAAGAUACAGUUGCUAAUUUUUAUAUUGAUCACAUGUAA